RNAcentral lists this non-coding RNA (31 nucleotides) under Homo sapiens (human). The record is from RNAcentral. Lineage: Eukaryota; Metazoa; Chordata; Mammalia; Primates; Hominidae.
UGAGCCUGCUGAGGAGAGCUGCCAGAUCGUC